AGGCGGACGGCUCAGUAACACGUAGUCAACCUAACCUAUGGACGUGGAUAACCUCGGGAAACUGAGAAUAAACCAUGAUAGAUCAUAAUGCCUGGAAUGGCUUAUGGUUCAAACAAUUUAUUGCCAUAGGAUGGGACUGCGGCCUAUCAGCUUGUUGGUGAGGUAAUGGCCCACCAAGGCUAUAACAGGUACGGGCUCUGAGAGGAGAAGCCCGGAGAUGGGUACUGAGACACGGACCCAGGCCCUAUGGGGCGCAGCAGGCGAGAAACCUUAGCAAUGUGCGAAAGCACGACUAGGUUAAUCCGAGUGGUUCCUGCUAAAGGAACCUUUUGUCAGUCGUAAAACCACAGACGAAUAAGGGGUGGGCAAGUCUGGUGUCAGCCGCCGCGGUAAUACCAGCACCUCGAGUGGUCAGGAGGUUUAUUGGGCCUAAAGCAUCCGUAGCCGGCUUUGCAAGUCUCCGGUUAAAUCCAACUGCUUAACAGAUGGGCUGCCGGAGAUACUACAAAGCUAGGGAGCGGGAGAGGUAGACGGUACUCGGUGGGUAGGGGUAAAAUCCACUGAUCCAUCGAAGACCACCAGUGGCGAAGGCGGUCUACCAGAACGCGUUCGACGGUGAGGGAUGAAAGCUGGGGGAGCAAACCGG
RNAcentral lists this ribosomal RNA (646 nucleotides) under uncultured archaeon. RNAcentral's name for it is "bacterial SSU rRNA". It matches the Rfam family "Archaeal small subunit ribosomal RNA", at positions 79 to 727 of the family's 1478-position model. The record is from RNAcentral.